This 392-nucleotide unclassified non-coding RNA is filed under the name Proteus mirabilis. Its description in RNAcentral is "partial 16S-23S ribosomal RNA intergenic spacer". The stretch from base 85 to 157 matches the Rfam family "tRNA". The record is from RNAcentral. Lineage: Bacteria; Pseudomonadati; Pseudomonadota; Gammaproteobacteria; Enterobacterales; Morganellaceae.
CCUAAGAGAUACGUGUUAUGUGAAGUGCUCACACAGAUUGUCUGAUGAAGAACGAGCAAAAGCGCGUCUGCGAAGCUGACAGAAGUCCCCUUCGUCUAGAGGCCUAGGACACCGCCCUUUCACGGCGGUAACAGGGGUUCGAAUCCCCUAGGGGACGCCAAUGCGCGGUAUGAGUGAAAGGCGUACCACUUAUCUGACGAGAGUCAGAGAAUAACUAAGCUAAUUCAAAUGAGUUAUCUUACUUAUUAUGCUCUUUAACAAUCUGGAACAAGCUGAAAAAUUGAAAACAAAUCAAUAUAUCACCGAGGUAUAUUGAUGAGUCUCUCAAAAUCUCAAACCUUAAAGUUUGUCACGCAAAGUUUAUCUUUGAAAGAGACACUUUCGGGUUGUGA